UCUACGGGUGGCAGCAGUGAGGAAUAUUGGUCAAUGGGCGCGAGCCUGAACCAGCCAAGUCGCGUGAAGGAUGACUGCCCUACGGGUUGUAAACUUCUUUUAUAAAGGAAUAAAGUGAGGCACGUGUGCCUUGUUGUAUGUACUUUAUGAAUAAGGAUCGGCUAACUCCGUGCCAGCAGCCGCGGUAAUACGGAGGAUCCGAGCGUUAUCCGGAUUUAUUGGGGUUAAAGGGGGCGUAGAUGGGUUUUUAAGUCAGUUGUGAAAGUUUGGGGCUCAACCGUAAAAUUGCAAUUGAUACUGGUAGUCUAGAGUACAGUUGAGGUAGGCGGAAUACGUGGUGUAGCGGUGAAAUGCUGAGAUAUCACGAAGAACUCCGAUUGCGAAGGCAGCUUACUAGACUGCCACUGACAUUGAGGCACGAAAGUGUGGGUAUCAAACAGGAUUAGAUACCCGAGUAGUC
Molecule: ribosomal RNA, 460 nt
Filed under: uncultured bacterium
Lineage: Bacteria
Description: partial 16S ribosomal RNA
Rfam family: Bacterial small subunit ribosomal RNA
Source: RNAcentral